This is a long non-coding RNA of Bubalus bubalis (water buffalo), 5139 nucleotides long. RefSeq lists it as uncharacterized. NCBI's taxonomy places the organism in Eukaryota, Metazoa, Chordata, Mammalia, Artiodactyla, Bovidae. The transcript is spliced from 2 exons. The record is from RefSeq and is a predicted model, not a curated record.
CUGCAUUGCGGGAAGACUUUCUACCGUCUGAGUCACCAGGGAAUCCCAAAGUGAGAAAAAGCUGAAGGGCCAGGGCCUUGUCACUGACCAUUGAUCUAGUGGCUAGGAUUCAGUACUCUCACCGCGGAGACUCGACCUCGAUCUCUGGCGGGGAAACGAAGCCCCACUUCAAGCCGCUGCAGGUCAAAGCCACCCAAGAUCAUAUUUGGUGCUGAAACCCAGGAAUUCAAGGUAAACCUUGGGCUUCACCCAGCUGCGGCUUGAGGCCACUGACUUUCGCUCCUGCUUUCUUUUUCUCACUCUCCAUUUCACUUUCAAGACCCACAGGGCAUAAUUUCUGUCUGGUCAACAUUGAGGAUGGCAGAGGGGUCCCCCAGGCCGUGCAGAUUCAAAUAACACUUGGGUGACAGUUGACUGUGUCCUUUGGGACAUGGUAGAAACGUGAUUUCCAAACCUGCAGGAGCUCAAGGGGUCUUUCCCACCCACUCCUCUGUCGUUGUCCAGUAUGGAACCUUCCACUACACUUUUCCUUCCCACCUUACUUGCACAACAGGGUGUCUUUCUCACUUCAUAUCUCCGCAACCUUUUAGGGAAGGAUUUCCUGGAUAUUAUUCCUAAACUGCAUCCCCGCCACUGCCAAACCCAAUGCUGCCUGUGUGAGACCAAGUCGUUAGCCGAAGCCCAGUUCUUUUACACCUGCCAGGACUAAAGGGCAAAGGAUUUGGGGUUUUUCUGCUGUCUGGUGUCUCACCUCACUCAAUGCCCAGAAAUUUACUGUGAGAAUUUCUCUGCCUCCUGGCCCUUGAGCCUUCAACCCCGUGCCAUCUUCCACAGUGCCCAACUCCAGUUUCUUCAAGGGUUCUAUUUUGCAACUGAUGGACCCCCUUCACUCCAGGCCUUGGCAGCAUAUACACUGCUACAGACAGCUUAUCAGGCUGGCCGCUACCCAGAAGCCCAAAUUAUAAACUUUGUAGAUGCUCAGUCACGAGGAAUACACCCCAGCGUAGGAAGACUUAUUAUAGGACAUAAGCUGUAUAGAGGAGGGAUCCCUCCUAAGGAAAGUCCUAGCAGCCGGUCGGCAGUGGUUCAAAUGUCCUCCCCUGGCCACCUGGGGAAGACAGCUUCUAAAGGUACUAAGGGAGACCAGAGAUGUCAGAAAUCUAUGGGAUGGUAGAGGUCUGGAAACUCUAUCAGGUUGGAAGGAAUUUGGGGUUGCACCCUGAACCCCUUCAGGUCAAAGUCUCCUAGCAAAUGUUUCUGGAACAACAGAUUCCAUUUCCUGGAGCUUUCUCGGUUGCAGGUUAACAGAAAGGCUAGGAAAGGGAAAACUUAAGUUCUACUGUAACAGUGCCUGGCCUUCAUAUAAGUUGGGGAAUGGAGAAAAACUACCUGAAAACGGGUCUCUAUAAUGCCAUUCUACAAUUGCAUAUUUAUUGCCACUGGAUGGGAAAGUGGACUGAGGGUCCCUCUAGUCAGACUUUCAUGGUCCAUUACCAAAAUUCCACCCUAUAUGGCUCUUGUAAUUCAAAACAUGGGGAACCAGAGAAAAAAAAAAAAAAAAAAACAUCAUUUUAGAUGAUCCCCUUCAAAGCUGUCCCAUCUCUCAGGGGGAUACCUAGCUCCCCCUGCUCCUGACAGUAUCCCUACUUUUCCAGAUCCAUCUGACUGAACCCAAACUCCACCUCCCCAUGUCCCUCCAUCCCCUCAGUUACCCCAGGAAAGAGACUAGUCCCUCUGUCCUCUCACCGUUGGAGCUUCCUAUCACCCAGGAUCAGGGAAGUUACGCCCUCUUAGGGAAGUGGCAAAUGGGGAAGGGACAGUCAGAGUCCCCUUUUAUAACCAACUUAGCCCAAAGCAAACAAACGAUUUUCUGAAGACCCAAGUAGGGUUUCAUGAAGAGUUUCAUGCUCCAAUUCUGGUUAUGACUUAACUUGGUAGGAUGUCCAAGGAGUCCUGUUGGGUUAGCCAAAAUGACCAUUGGGGUUUUUCCAUAAGAUAUUAUGGAAAAACCUGAGUGAACAUUUUGGCCAACCUAAUACUUAUUGUACUUCUGAGGAAAAACAGAAUCUGGACGGCAGCCCAGAGGCUUGCUGACUAACUUGCUGGAGACCAACUUGAAUACACUCUGGGUGGAGAGGCAGUCCCAAAUAUAAUUCCUCGGAAUUAUACUUCUUGGACAGGAACAGAAGCCAGGAAGCUCAUGAUCUAAUGUGUAUUAGAAGGGAUGAGAAAGUGUAUCAAAAUGUCAUUUAACUGUGAGGUUAAAGGAGUGACCCAGGAAAAGAAAGAAAAUCCAGCCCCCUCUUUCACAGGCAGCUUGUGAAGGCUUUUAGGAAGUAUACCAACGUAGAUCCCUCCACUUCCAAAGGUCAGUCCCUGCUGGGACAAUACUUUUUAUCAGCCAGCCCUCCCCUGAUACUAUUAACAUGUGGAAACUUCAAAAGUUAGAAUUUGGGCCACAGACUUCCAUACCUCAACUCCUGGAUGUGGCCCUUGGUGUAUUUAAUAAUCAAGACCAAGCUCCAGGGGGAAAGCUGGAGAAAAGACAGUCUAGGGCUCAUGCACAACUGAUAGCCAUUGCUGUUGGCCAUGUCUUGUGACCUCAGGACAGCUCAAGGGGGCCAAAAAAGUCCAGCCGUCCAUCUGGAGGUAAGACCAACAAGCAGGAAUGCUACAAAUGCAAGUCAACUGGCCACUGGGCCCGAGAUUGCCAGAAAGAACCCCGCUUCCCUCCCCCAGGCCAUGCCUAGCCUGCAAACAAGCAGGUCAUUGGAAGAGGGACUGCCCUUAGUCCCAAAGUGGGCGAGGGGCUCCCACUCCUGAAAUGGCCAUGCUGGAUGACUGAGGUGGCCCAGAGAUUCUAGCUUCUGAUGGUUCCCCCUAACAAGAGGUCUAUCUCCACUGAGGGGCCCAGGGUAGUCCUUGUCAUGGCAGGUAAGAAAAUCAAUUUCUUAGUUGACAUGGGAACCACUUACUCUGUCUUAAUUUCUCACACUGGACCUCCCUCUUCCAAAAGCUGUGCUGUAACUGGUGUCAAUGGAAAGCCUCGCAGCCAUUAUUUUACCGGGCCUCUCACUUGUCAAUGUGAGCAGCAGCUGAUUUCAUGUGCCUCUUUAGUUGUGCCUGAGUGUCCCACCCCACUACUGGAAAGAGAUCAUCUGAGCUCUAUCAGGGCCAUACUCCAGUUAGGAGGCUGCAACACUUUCCCUUGACUGACUAAAACAGACCAGCCAGAAGAGCAAGGUCCUAUUCCCAGCCAUAUUGUACAAAAAGUGGGUCCUGCAGUGUGGGACAAAGAAAUCCCUAGAAUGGCCAUACAUGCCCAGCCUGUAAGAAUUCACCUUAGGCCUGAAGCUGCUUAUCCUAACAAGAGAAAAGGUGGAAGGAGAAAGGAUCCACAUCAAAGGAACAGAUACCAGAACAAACAUGGAAGGAAGGCAUUGGGUAUAUGGUUGGAGAACAUUUCUGUAACAAUAGAUUUGGAUGGCUAGCUCUUAAAACCUUAAAUCUGUUAGUCUAUUGUACCCCACCAGGAUACGUUUUGGUAUGCCAGGUAGAUAAGAAACCAUGGGCCACUAAUUGCCUGCACAGUAACUCCAUGUCCACACAGUAUAUGCUGGCAACUUUGGUUACUCCUUUCUCAAGCCACUCCUUAAAUGAAUUUAAGUUUAUUAAACCCAUUUACUCGAUUAACUCUAGAUUUACCUGGUGGCAUCCUAGAUGGAGACGUCUAUUUCUUUGGGUACACCUUGUUACCAUGGUGGGGAGUCACCGCCCAUCAACAUGUCCUUCAAAACUUAUCUGUUACUCUUACCACCAUAGCUAACAAUACCACUAACUCUCUUACUAAUUUACAAAAGUCUCUAGAUUCACUGGCCAAGGUGGCAUUUGACAACUGUCUGGCCCUGGUUUAUCUGUUGGCAAAACAAGGAGUUGCCAACCUUUCUUGUUGCACAUACAUUAACACCUCUUCCCAGGUAUAGACCGACAUUGAGAAAACGCAACAGCAGGCCACCUGGCUUCAACAGACAGUUAACCACCAAUCCUCACUAUUCAGUAUGGGUGGGGAAAUUGAAAGCUGGUUCUCUAACUUGUCCUCCUGGAUCCCGCAAGGUAUUAAAAACUUUCUGAUUGGAUGUUUCCAUUUUCUUAUAACCUUCUUCAUGGUUUCAGCCAUACUGAUUUAUGUUAAAUGUUUAGUAUUUCUCUAUUCUUAAGAAGGAAGGCCUCAACCUGUUGGUCCCAGGCCUGCUUCUUGGACUGAAACAUCUUAGUUGAAGAUUUGCAACAGUAAAGAAGACAGCAGGGCUCUAGGAAAAAUAUAAAUCCGUAUGGCCAAUGUGCUGACCUUAUUCCAAGUGUGCUUGAGCCUCCGAUUUUAACAGUCUUUUACUGAUCGUUAGGCCCUGCUUCUCUAAUUAUUUGGUUUGUUUUCUCUGGGGCAUCACAGGACAAUGGUGAUGCAGGGACUCCAGCUACUUCCCAAGGCAGAUCCUGCCAAAAUAACAACAGAAGCCACCUUGGGGCCCCUUUAAUGAGAUAGGGUGAGAGCUCCGUGACCCCAGCUAGGUAGGGUCUACAAGCCCCUUGCCAGCCUGAAGAAGCUACAGAAGACAGACCUUCACCCUUCAUCUUCCCAAUAAAGUUUUCUUGGGGUGUACGUCUCUCAGGGAGGAUUUGAGGCAGGAGAUAGAUGGGCCCCCCACCAGAGUGAACAGUUGGAGUUCGUUCCCUAUGGACAGAAACUCCAAAAUAUCAAUAGCAGUUCAAUCAAGAGAGGAGGCUGGGCCCUGCUCAGAUAAAAGAUAAGAGACUAUACAUUUCUUAUUCUUGAAGUCAAGGAGACGCCUGACUGGAAAGCUUGGAGGUCAAAAUGGGAAUGAUGUCAAGCUACCCAUGGGCCUCUUUGCUGGAAGAGACUGAGAGAUCGAUUUUGGCUGAGAGAUACACAUGCACAGAUGGGAGGAUCCUGAGGACUCAGAACCAGAUAAAGCAAGAUGAUUGGCCAAAGGAAACCUGGAAGAAAUGCACCAUAUAAGUGAUUUAAACUGCCACAAAGGUGCAACUUUCUGAGUCCACCUGUGUGUCUAUCCAUAUGUACUGUUCUCUUUUCCUCCUAAUAAACACUUUAUUACCCUA